CCCCAAAGCGGAUGAGUUCUGGCAUUCUGAGCAGCACUGAGGAGGGCUUUGUUACUGCAGUGAAUGCGUUCCGUUAAACCUCGAAACUUUAAUGUAUGUUUGGCUCCGAGAGAGUAACCUAGGGCAGGUCUACUAUGAAAUACGAAGACUUAAGAUUGGCUGCCGUUGCUGUUAAUCGUUCACAAAGCCUAGAAACACUCAAACAGUUGAUGACGCCGAAUCUUUUACCAGAGACUGGAAUUUGUUUUGGAAUAGUACCACGUGACAAGCAACAAGCGCAAAAGAGAGAAACGCAUUGAAAGCUUUUCAAACACUUCUAAAUUCUCUGCUUAUUGCACAAGACAGCACUAUGUCAGAGGAGCAAGGAAAAGAGUCUACCUAUGAGAUGAGUCUCUCAGAGAAACAGAGUGUACGAUCAGGCUCACAUGUGUUCAGCUCUGUGUCUAUGAAGAGUGAUCAGUCAAAAGAUCAACCACCGACAUUUAGUG
Molecule: long non-coding RNA, 488 nt
Organism: Cyprinus carpio (common carp)
Lineage: Eukaryota; Metazoa; Chordata; Actinopteri; Cypriniformes; Cyprinidae
Exons: 3
Source: RefSeq, a predicted model, not a curated record